UGGGGAAUAUUGCACAAUGGGCGAAAGCCUGAUGCAGCGACGCCGCGUGAGGGAUGACGGCCUUCGGGUUGUAAACCUCUUUCAGCAGGGACGAAGCGAAAGUGACGGUACCUGCAGAAGAAGCACCGGCCAACUACGUGCCAGCAGCCGCGGUAAUACGUAGGGUGCAAGCGUUGUCCGGAAUUAUUGGGCGUAAAGAGCUCGUAGGCGGUCUGUCACGUCGGCUGUGAAAACCUGGGGCUCAACCCCGGGCCUGCAGCCGAUACGGGCAGACUAGAAUUCGGUAGGGGAGACUGGAAUUCCUGGUGUAGCGGUGAAAUGCGCAGAUAUCAGGAGGAACACCGGUGGCGAAGGCGGGUCUCUGGGCCGAUAUUGACGCUGAGGAGCGAAAGCGUGGGGAGCGAACAGGAUUAGAUACCCCGUAGUCC
RNAcentral lists this ribosomal RNA (428 nucleotides) under uncultured bacterium. Its description in RNAcentral is "bacterial SSU rRNA". It matches the Rfam family "Bacterial small subunit ribosomal RNA", at positions 355 to 796 of the family's 1533-position model. The record is from RNAcentral.